AACGAACGCUGGCGGCAGGCUCAACACAUGCAAGUCGAACGAGAUCUUCGGAUCUAGUGGCAGACGGGUGAGGAACACGUGGGAACAUCCCUUUCAGUUCGGAAUAACGUUGGGAAACUAACGCUAAUACCGGAUACGUCCUUCGGGAGCAAGAUUUAUCGCUGAAAGAUUGGCCCGCGUCUGAUUAGCUAGUUGGUGAGGUAACGGCUCACCAAGGCUACGAUCAGUAGCUGAUCUGAGAGGAUGAUCAGCCACAUUGGGACUGAGACACGGCCCAAAUUCCUCCGGAGGGGAGCAGUGGGUAAUAUUGGACAGUGGGCGCAAGCCUGAUCCAGCCAUGCCGCGUGAGUGAUGACGGCCUUCGGGUUGUAAAACUCUUUUGUCCGGGAAGAUAAUGACUGUACCGAAAGAAUAAGCCCCGGCAAACUUCGUGCCAGCAGCCGCCGUAA
This 449-nucleotide ribosomal RNA is filed under the name uncultured bacterium. RNAcentral's name for it is "partial 16S ribosomal RNA". It matches the Rfam family "Bacterial small subunit ribosomal RNA", at positions 29 to 523 of the family's 1533-position model. The record is from RNAcentral.